Long non-coding RNA from Sinocyclocheilus anshuiensis, 321 nucleotides. RefSeq lists it as uncharacterized. The record is from RefSeq and is a predicted model, not a curated record. NCBI's taxonomy places the organism in Eukaryota, Metazoa, Chordata, Actinopteri, Cypriniformes, Cyprinidae. The transcript has 3 exons.
ACAGACAGAAAGAGAGUGUCAAGUUUCCAAUUUAACUCAAAGCUUCCCUGAUGAAAACAUGGCUGUAGUAGGAGACCAAGAUGCAACUGAGUUGUGCAGAACAACAGAUUCUGUCACAGAAGUGUGGAGCUCAGUCCGGGUGUGGGCACAUCCACACAUGUCCUGAAAGCACAGCUGUGUUCGAGGAAGGCCUCAUUGAGUAUUUCUCUCAGCUGUGUGAAACAACCUCGGCUCUCACUAACUCGACAAGCAGGCAGGAACAGAGCCAAAAAACACAGCCGUAAAAAUAAGACACCACUCUGGAAACACCAUCAGGGCCGC